AUGCGUUCUCUACACCAUGAGUCCGCGGCACCCUUGAGGACUAACCGGAUAUUUCAUUUGUUUUCGGACCCGAGGAGCCGAGACCGGUGCCCGGCACGCCGCGAUGCAAACCGGGAGGACUGGUCAUUUCAGGCGCCGUCUCCCGGCUCGCCCCGGUCCUCCCCGCCGUUCCCCCCGCCAGGACGGCUCCACGACCUCCGCGCUCAGGGCGGGCUCCCGUCCGUCACCCAACCCCCCCAGCAGCCAGUGUCCGGGGCGCCGAGCCGCGCUGGGGCGGUGACACCACCCGCCCUCGCGUCCCCGCCGCCCGCUCGGGGCUGGGGUGUCGGGAGGCCAGGAGCGCGCCCCGCGCGGGGACGACCCUCCCGGGGCAGGUGGGGAAAUGGAGGCGGGGCUGGGGGGGCGCAGAAGUCCAAGGUCACACGGCCGGCUCGGUGCGUGCGCUCGGCCCGCGGGCCGCAGCAGCCUCGGAGCCCGGCCCCCGCCCCGCCGCGCCGCGCCGCGCCGGGGGGACGUCUCACCGCGGCCGCCCGCUGCCCGCUCGCGCUGCGCCGCACUCCCCGCCGCCGAGCUCUCGGUCCCCCGGGCGGCGGCGGCCGCCGCUUCCACUUCCGGCGCGCUCGGCCAAUCAGCGCGCGCCGCCCCCGGCGGAGGAACAGGUGGGCGGCCCGCCCGCGCCCCCUCGCCCGCCCGGACGCGGCUCGCCCCGGCCGGGCCCGCCCCGCGCCGCGCCCCUCCGCGCCCCUCCCGCGCCCCUCCCGCGCCCCCGCGCCCCCCCGCCGCCCCCCGCGGGGCCCGCUCCCCGGAGACGCCCCCCGGCGCCCGGCGGCGCCCGCGUCCCCCCGCGGAAUCACCGACGAGCCGGGUCCUCCGGCCGGCCUAGACCGGCCCCGGGAACGCACUUCCGCCGCGGGGUGGGCCGCUCUGCGCGCCGCGGUCGCUGCCCCCGCGUCCACCUGCGCCCGAGCGGGCGGCGCCCCCCUCGCCCUCGGCGCCCCCUCCCCGCGGCCCACAGCCUGUCAGCCCCCUCCCCCGAGCGCCUGCGGCCUGGCGGGCGCGGACGCCUGCUUCCUGGGAGCGGGGCGUGCAGGGAGUCGGCUCGGGGGUCCGGCGGGGGCUUGCUCGCGGGAGCGCCCCGGGGUGCCUCCGGCGGCCGUGUGA
RNAcentral lists this long non-coding RNA (1161 nucleotides) under Zalophus californianus (California sea lion). RNAcentral describes it as "lncRNA (ENSZCAG00015017810.1)". Lineage: Eukaryota; Metazoa; Chordata; Mammalia; Carnivora; Otariidae. The record is from RNAcentral.